Molecule: ribosomal RNA, 446 nt
Filed under: uncultured bacterium
Lineage: Bacteria
Description: partial 16S ribosomal RNA
Rfam family: Bacterial small subunit ribosomal RNA
Source: RNAcentral
CCUACGGGUGGCAGCAGUCGAGAAUCAUUCACAAUGGGGGAAACCCUGAUGGUGCGACGCCGCGUGGGGGAAUGAAGGUCUUCGGAUUGUAAACCCCUGUCAUGUGGGAGCAAAUUAAAAAGAUAGUACCACAAGAGGAAGAGACGGCUAACUCUGUGCCAGCAGCCGCGGUAAUACAGAGGUCUCAAGCGUUGUUCGGAACCACUGGGCGUAAAGCGUGCGUAGGCAGUUUCGUAAGACGUGUGUGAAGGGGGCGGGCUCAACCCGCGGACGGCACAUGAUACUGCGAGACUAGAGUAAUGGAGGGGGAACCGGAAUUCUCGGUGUAGCAGUGAAAUGCGUAGAUAUCGAGAGGAACACUCGUGGCGAAGGCGGGUUCCUGGACAUUAACUGACGCUGAGGCACGAAGGCCAGGGGAGCGAAAGGGAUUAGAUACCCCAGUAGUC